GACGAACGCUGGCGGCGUGCUUAACACAUGCAAGUCGAACGGAAAGGCCCUGCUUUUGUGGGGUGCUCGAGUGGCGAACGGGUGAGUAACACGUGAGUAACCUGCCCCUUACUUUGGGAUAACUUCAGGAAACUCGGGCUCAUACCGGAUAGGAGCUCCUGCUGCAUGGUGGGGGUUGGAAAGUUUCGGUGGUUGGGGAUGGACUUGUGGUUUAUCAGCUUGUUGGCUGGGUAGUGGAUUAACAAGGCUUUGACGGGUAGCCGCCCUGAGAGGGUGACCGGCCACAGUGGGACUGAGGUACGGGCCGGACGCCUACGGGAGGCAGGGGUGGGGAAUUUUGCACAAUGGGCGGAAGCAGGAUGCAGCAACGCCGCGUGCGGGAUGACGGCCUGCGGGUUGGAAACCGGUUUCGCCUGGGACGAAGCUUGAGUGACGGUAAUGGGUAAAGAAGCACCGGCUAACUACGUG
Molecule: ribosomal RNA, 468 nt
Filed under: uncultured bacterium
Lineage: Bacteria
Description: partial 16S ribosomal RNA
Rfam family: Bacterial small subunit ribosomal RNA
Source: RNAcentral